Molecule: ribosomal RNA, 317 nt
Filed under: uncultured Prevotella sp.
Lineage: Bacteria; Pseudomonadati; Bacteroidota; Bacteroidia; Bacteroidales; Prevotellaceae
Description: bacterial SSU rRNA
Rfam family: Bacterial small subunit ribosomal RNA
Source: RNAcentral
UGAGGAAUAUUGGUCAAUGGGCGAGAGCCUGAACCAGCCAAGUAGCGUGCAGGAAGACGGCCCUAUGGGUUGUAAACUGCUUUUAUGCGGGGAUAAAGUGGGGGACGUGUCCCUUAUUGCAGGUACCGCAUGAAUAAGGACCGGCUAAUUCCGUGCCAGCAGCCGCGGUAAUACGGAAGGUCCGGGCGUUAUCCGGAUUUAUUGGGUUUAAAGGGAGCGUAGGCCGUCUUUUAAGCGUGUUGUGAAAUGCCGCGGCUCAACCGUGGCACUGCAGCGCGAACUGGAGGACUUGAGUGCGCAGGAGGUAGGCGGAAUUC